This 460-nucleotide ribosomal RNA is filed under the name uncultured bacterium. Its description in RNAcentral is "partial 16S ribosomal RNA". It matches the Rfam family "Bacterial small subunit ribosomal RNA", at positions 338 to 795 of the family's 1533-position model. The record is from RNAcentral.
CCUACGGGAGGCAGCAGUGAGGAAUAUUGGUCAAUGGACGAGAGUCUGAACCAGCCAAUUAGCGUGAAGGAUGACUGCCCUAUGGGUUGUAAACUUCUUUUAUAUGGGAAUAAAAUGUUCCACGUGUGGGAUUUUGUAUGUACCAUAUGAAUAAGGAUCGGCUAACUCCGUGCCAGCAGCCGCGGUAAUACGGAGGAUCAGCGCGUUAUCCGGAUUUAUUGGGUUUAAAGGGAGCGUAGGUGGAUUGUUAAGUCAGUUGUGAAAGUUUGCGUCUCAACCGUAAAAUUGCAGUUGAAACUGGCAGUCUUGAGUACAGUAGAGGUGGGCGGAAUUCGUGGUGUAGCGGUGAAAUGCUUAGAUAUCACGAAGAACUCCGAUUGCGAAGGCAGUUCACUGGACUGCAACUGACACUGAGGCUCGAAAGUGUGGGUAUCAAACAGGAUUAGAUACCCCUGUAGUC